AGGAUUCCCCUAGUAACUGCGAGUGAAGCGGGAAAAGCUCAAAUUUAAAAUCUGGCAGCCUUUGGUUGUCCGAGUUGUAAUCUAGAGAAGUGUUAUCCGCGUUGGACCGUGUACAAGUCUCCUGGAAUGGAGCGUCAUAGAGGGUGAGAAUCCCGUCUUUGACACGGACUGCCAAGGCUUUGUGAUGCGCUCUCAAAGAGUCGAGUUGUUUGGGAAUGCAGCUCAAAAUGGGUGGUAAAUUCCAUCUAAAGCUAAAUAUUGGCGAGAGACCGAUAGCGAACAAGUACCGUGAGGGAAAGAUGAAAAGAACUUUGGAAAGAGAGUUAAACAGUACGUGAAAUUGCUGAAAGGGAAACGCUUGAAGUCAGUCGCGUUGUCCAGGGAUCAACCUUGCUUUUGCUUGGUGCACUUUCUGGUUGACGGGUCAGCAUCAAUUUUGACUAUUGGAAAAAGAUUAGGGGAAUGUGGCAUCUUUGGAUGUGUUAUAGCCCUUGGUUGCAUACAAUGGUUGGGAUUGAGGAACUCAGCACGCCGCAAGGCCGGGUUUUUAACCACGUACGUGCUUAGGAUGCUGGCAUAAUGGCUUUAAUCGACCCGUCUUGAAACACGGACCAAGGAGUCUAACAUGCCUGCGAGUGUUUGGGUGGAAAACCCGAGCGCGUAAUGAAAGUGAAAGUUGAGAUCCCUGUCGUGGGGAGCAUCGACGCCCGGACCAGACCUUUUGUGACGGUUCCGCGGUAGAGCAUGUAUGUUGGGACCCGAAAGAUGGUGAACUAUGCCUGAAUAGGGUGAAGCCAGAGGAAACUCUGGUGGAGGCUCGUAGCGAUUCUGACGUGCAAAUCGAUCGUCAAAUUUGGGUAUAGGGGCGAAAGACUAAUCGA
RNAcentral lists this ribosomal RNA (881 nucleotides) under Cortinarius elaiops. RNAcentral's name for it is "eukaryotic LSU rRNA". It matches the Rfam family "Eukaryotic large subunit ribosomal RNA", at positions 71 to 938 of the family's 3401-position model. Lineage: Eukaryota; Fungi; Basidiomycota; Agaricomycetes; Agaricales; Cortinariaceae. The record is from RNAcentral.